Molecule: ribosomal RNA, 253 nt
Filed under: uncultured bacterium
Lineage: Bacteria
Description: partial 16S ribosomal RNA
Rfam family: Bacterial small subunit ribosomal RNA
Source: RNAcentral
UACGUAGGGUGCAAGCGUUGUCCGGAAUUAUUGGGCGUAAAGAGCUCGUAGGCGGUUUGUCGCGUCUGCUGUGAAAACUCGGGGCUUAACUCCGGGCCUGCAGUGGGUACGGGCAGACUAGAGUGCGGUAGGGGAGACUGGAAUUCCUGGUGUAGCGGUGAAAUGCGUAGAUAUCAGGAGGAACACCGGUGGCGAAGGCGGCUCUCUGGACGGUGACUGACGCUGAGACGCGAAAGCGUGGGGAGCAAACAGG